AUGCAACAACCAGCCUGCCAGCUCCUUGCACACGCGCACGCGGCAACGCCUGCACAAAUCGCCCAACACCUGGGCCUAGCCCGCCAUGCCUGCUCCGCAGUGCUCUCACCUGAGAUAUUAGCGUCUAGCGCACGAAGCCUCACCAGCCUACCACGCCUUCAAGACGCCGCCUCCCACGUGUUUGCGCUGACCACUUGCACCGAUGCGGCUGUGCGCCCCUGCGCCACGCGAUUCGAGCACUACUGCAACUCGCCGAGAUCGAUCCGGAUCACUGCUGUGAAGAUUACAACGCGAUCAUAUCUGCUUCUGAUCUGCAACUCACCGACGAUUCUGUCCCGUGUUACGAUGCCUCUGUAG
This 357-nucleotide ribosomal RNA is filed under the name Triticum aestivum (bread wheat). Its description in RNAcentral is "partial small subunit ribosomal RNA". Lineage: Eukaryota; Viridiplantae; Streptophyta; Magnoliopsida; Poales; Poaceae. The record is from RNAcentral.